ACCCUAGUUGCCUCUCAUCCCCACCUUAUAAAGCAUCAUCCUCUUCCUCCUAUUUCCCUUACGCCUCGUCUAAAUCUAAAUCUAAUAUCUUGUUUAGGGUUUUUACAUCUACUUCCAAGCUACAAAGAUCAGAUCUUUAUCCUAUUCAUUCUUCCUCACCGUCUUCAACUUUAGUUUACAAUCAAACUCAUGUAUUUGGGACCGUGACGAUUAUUGUGAUUAGGUCUCGUUCGUCGUAAUUGGCCUUAUCGGCCUUGCCGACCAUUCUGCUAUAUCACCACCCAUAUUCUGAGUCCCUUUUUUCUGCAACCAUUUCCUUAUUUUUCUUUAAUUUUCGAUUUUUUGUUACAAAGGCUCGUGCUUUUUCAAUUGGCCAAUGAUUAAAAUUACAAAAAAGACAAGCAUAUGUCUGAAGUAAUUCGUGUGGAUCAAUCUAAUCUUCUCUAUGAGGCCGAUCAAAUUCCAGAAUUUAGCUGAAAAUUUUGAGUUUUAAUAUUUUAUUUUCUUGCAUUAUGUCUUGUUUUUGCUGCAUAGGCUUUAAUACGUGAUUUUACUUUUUCCCUCAGAUACCCAAAUACUUUGCUUUGCCAGUGAUGAAGGUUUAUAAUAAAUGGAUGGUUUAGUGUGCUCAUCAAGUUUAAAUGGCCAAUGAUGAUAAAUCCAAAGGCUUGUUUCUCUAAACAUUCGCAGUGGCCGCCUAAGAGCUUUCGCCUUCGCCAGGCUUGAGAGCUUGUGCUGCUUUAAUCCUUCCUUGGAUGUCUGAGGUCACUUAAUUUGCCAAAAUUUGU
This is a small nucleolar RNA of Arachis ipaensis, 788 nucleotides long. RefSeq annotates it as small nucleolar RNA SNORD14. The record is from RefSeq and is a predicted model, not a curated record. NCBI's taxonomy places the organism in Eukaryota, Viridiplantae, Streptophyta, Magnoliopsida, Fabales, Fabaceae.